RNAcentral lists this ribosomal RNA (253 nucleotides) under uncultured bacterium. Its description in RNAcentral is "partial 16S ribosomal RNA". It matches the Rfam family "Bacterial small subunit ribosomal RNA", at positions 524 to 776 of the family's 1533-position model. The record is from RNAcentral.
UACGUAGGGGGCAAGCGUUGUCCGGAUUUAUUGGGCGUAAAGAGCGUGUAGGCGGCCAGAUAGGUCAGCUGUGAAAACUCGAGGCUCAACCUCGAGACGUCGGUUGAAACCAUCUGGCUAGAGUCCGGAAGAGGAGAGUGGAAUUCCCGGUGUAGCGGUGAAAUGCGCAGAUAUCGGGAAGAACACCCGUGGCUAAGGCGGCUCUCUAGUACGGUACUGACGCUGAGACGCGAAAGCGUGGGGAGCGAACAGG